AGUGAACGCUGGCGGCAGGCCUAACACAUGCAAGUCGAACGGCAGCACAGGAGAGCUUGCUCUCUGGGUGGCGAGUGGCGGACGGGUGAGGAAUAUAUCGGAAUCUACCCUUUCGUGGGGGAUAACGUAGGGAAACUUACGCUAAUACCGCAUACGAACUGAGGUUGAAAGCGGCGGACCGCAAGGCGUCGCGCGGAUGGAUGAGCCGAUAUCCGAUUAGCUAGUUGGCGGGGUAAAGGCCCACCAAGGCGACGAUCGGUAGCUGGUCUGAGAGGAUGAUCAGCCACACUGGAACUGAGACACGGUCCAGACUCCUACGGGAGGCAGCAGUGGGGAAUAUUGGACAAUGGGCGCAAGCCUGAUCCAGCCAUGCCGCGUGUGUGAAGAAGGCCUUCGGGUUGUAAAGCCUUUUGUUGGGAAAGAAAAGCGGUCGGUUAAUACCCGGUCGUUCUGAC
This 455-nucleotide ribosomal RNA is filed under the name uncultured Xanthomonas sp. RNAcentral's name for it is "bacterial SSU rRNA". It matches the Rfam family "Bacterial small subunit ribosomal RNA", at positions 29 to 478 of the family's 1533-position model. The record is from RNAcentral. Lineage: Bacteria; Pseudomonadati; Pseudomonadota; Gammaproteobacteria; Lysobacterales; Lysobacteraceae.